UACAGAGGUCUCAAGCGUUGUUCGGAUUCAUUGGGCGUAAAGGGUGCGUAGGCGGCGCGGUAAGUCGGGUGUGAAAUCUCGGGGCUUAACUCCGAAACUGCAUUCGAUACUGCCGUGCUUGAGGACUGGAGAGGAGACUGGAAUUUACGGUGUAGCGGUGAAAUGCGUAGAUAUCGAGAGGAACACCUGAGGCGAAGGCGGGUUGCUAGGCUGACACUGACGCUGAGGAGCGAAAGCAUGGGGAGCGAACAGG
Molecule: ribosomal RNA, 253 nt
Filed under: uncultured bacterium
Lineage: Bacteria
Description: partial 16S ribosomal RNA
Rfam family: Bacterial small subunit ribosomal RNA
Source: RNAcentral